UUUCGCCCCAGACGCGGCAGGCGCUGCGCGCAGAGCCCGGGACCCGUGGAAAAGAUGGGGUACACGGCAAGGAACCGGUUUCUAGAGCCCGGGUGCGCGGCCCGGGCUGCUGCGGACCCGCUUGGCCAACAAUACCAGAGAUCUAACUCAUGCAUGGCAAGCAAGUGUUCUAAUGCUGAGUUGCAUCAUCAGGCCCUCAGCUCCCAGAAAGACAUCGCUGGAUGGCACAUGAAGCUGCAAAUGUUCCAGCUGAGCCCAGCCCAUCUCAGAACCACAAAGGGCAUGCUAUUUUGGGAGCCUGCAGCAGCAGAUCCAUGACAACUACAGGAACCAGAGUCAAGGAUGCCUCGGGAACCCCAACAGGUGGAAGACGGUAGGCUGAGCCCCUCUCGUUCUCACUGGGCCCCUCAUCCACCAGAUCCAAAGGAAGCUGAUGCAGGAGGAGGUGUCUAAUGGCGGAGGCAGAACUCUCCUGCUGUCACCUGUGCAAAGUGCUGUGUGUCUGCGCGCAUGCUGUGUGUAGGGGGAGCGUGUCAGCAUAUGAGACUGCAGAGCUGCCAGGAGCACACGUCUGGGUGUGUCCCGGUGUCUCUAUGGUCCUGCUUCCUGCCGCUCUUCUCCCUGCCAUGAGCUGCUUUUCUCUCACUCUCACUUGUGCCUGGACCCCUCUGAGCCUCCUGAAGGCCAGAUCUCCUUCAUACCUUCUUCUGUUCUUAGAUUAGCAAAUAAAAACUGGCAAUGCCCUUUUAAAUCACUGCCUUCAUGUAGUAAAAACAAGAAGCCUACCACGAGAAGAACUGGCCCUGAAUCACAAGGCAGCUCAGUGCCAGGGCACAGGGGAGCACCAGACUGACAUGUGGCAGGACCAUCCUCUCCAGUCACAGCUGCUCUUGUUGGGUAAAGGACCUCUCCCACCCUCACCUGCCUUUAGGGGAAACCUCUGACCUUCCUUUUGGCCUCAGUGGAACCGCGAGCUGCAGACUGUGAGAUCCAUAGGAGAUACCCAGCCCUCCGGGCCAGCACCAGCAGAGCUGAUUUAGCACAUCUUCAACCAGACUUGCCCUCGGCGGGGAACACACCCUUUCUCUCCAUGUCCCCUUCUUCCCCUCACUUGUCCCAGGGGAAGAUGGCCAUCACUGUUAUCUUUGCUUUGCCCAGCUCCUUUUUCUCUAGCUCCACCUUGCCAAGUCAUGUUGUUCCUUCCUUUGAAGUGCUCCUGGAACUUUAACCAUGUCCUCCCCCACCUCCCAUACUCAGAGCCAAGGUCAUGGCAGGAAUCUGCAGUUCAGCUGGGGUGUGGCUUGCCAAGCCGUACCAUUGGCUCAGCUGCCUCAUCAGGACCUUCUCUUCUGACUUCUCUGUUCCCAGGGAACUUCCCUCCUAGCUUUGUCCAGAAGACCAGUCUAGGCAAUGCCCUACCUAUAGUCAUGUCUAUCAAUAUCCCCAGAAUCUUCUCAACUCUGAAGCCCGCUCCCUCCCACCUCUUCAUGCCUUACCUGUUUCCCCUCUCUCCUGAUACCCUCUCUUCUCUUCUGCACUGCUGCAGCUCUGAGCAAUCAUGGGGCUCAGUGGAAGUCCACUUUCUGAGGAUUAGCCUCUCCCAAUCGGGACAAGCAGUCAGCAGUAGGGACUGAGCGCUGGGGCCUGACAGAGUUGCGAGCCUGGGAAAUUGAGUCCCCACAGGUAUACAGGACUCUCUGACCCACAUCUAGAAUUCUAGAAUGCAGCCUGAGGAGGGAAGAGCCCUUUGCAUGAAGCCCUGGCCCGAGCUACAGAAGUUCUCCAGUGCAGAGAAGAAUCCAGAGUCCUAUCUGGAGCCAUGGUCAAUGAAUAUCUCUAGGUGGGUUACAGGAGAGGGGCACAACUCCCUCCCCCCUUCCCCAACAUCCUAUCAUGAAGUUUAGUCUUUGUUGCUCCCCU
Molecule: long non-coding RNA, 1920 nt
Organism: Sorex araneus (European shrew)
Lineage: Eukaryota; Metazoa; Chordata; Mammalia; Eulipotyphla; Soricidae
Exons: 3
Source: RefSeq, a predicted model, not a curated record